This 410-nucleotide ribosomal RNA is filed under the name uncultured microorganism. Its description in RNAcentral is "bacterial SSU rRNA". It matches the Rfam family "Bacterial small subunit ribosomal RNA", at positions 9 to 414 of the family's 1533-position model. The record is from RNAcentral.
GAGUUUGAUCGUGGCUCAGAUUGAACGCUGGCGGCAUGCCUUACACAUGCAAGUCGAACGGCAGCAUGAUCUAGCUUGCUAGAUUGAUGGCGAGUGGCGAACGGGUGAGUAAUACAUCGGAACGUGCCCUGUAGUGGGGGAUAACUAGUCGAAAGAUUAGCUAAUACCGCAUACGACCUGAGGGUGAAAGUGGGGGACCGCAAGGCCUCAUGCUAUAGGAGCGGCCGAUGUCUGAUUAGCUAGUUGGUGGGGUAAAGGCCCGACCAAGGCGACGAUCAGUAGCUGGUCUGAGAGGACGAUCAGCCACACUGGGACUGAGACACGGCCCAGACUCCUACGGGAGGCAGCAGUGGGGAAUUUUGGACAAUGGGCGAAAGCCUGAUCCAGCAAUGCCGCGUGUGUGAAGAAGG